Molecule: ribosomal RNA, 549 nt
Filed under: uncultured Nitrosospira sp.
Lineage: Bacteria; Pseudomonadati; Pseudomonadota; Betaproteobacteria; Nitrosomonadales; Nitrosomonadaceae
Description: bacterial SSU rRNA
Rfam family: Bacterial small subunit ribosomal RNA
Source: RNAcentral
UGGGGAAUUUUGGACAAUGGGGGAAACCCUGAUCCAGCCAUGCCGCGUGAGUGAAGAAGGCCUUCGGGUUGUAAAGCUCUUUCAGCCGGAACGAAACAGUCACGGCUAAUACCUGUGACUACUGACGGUACCGGAAGAAGAAGCACCGGCUAACUACGUGCCAGCAGCCGCGGUAAUACGUAGGGUGCGAGCGUUAAUCGGAAUUACUGGGCGUAAAGCGUGCGCAGGCGGUUUUGUAAGUCAGAUGUGAAAUCCCCGGGCUUAACCUGGGAACUGCGUUUGAAACUACAAGGCUAGAGUGUGGCAGAGGGGGGUGGAAUUCCACGUGUAGCAGUGAAAUGCGUAGAGAUGUGGAGGAACACCGAUGGCGAAGGCAGCCCCCUGGGUUAACACUGACGCUCAGGCACGAAAGCGUGGGGAGCAAACAGGAUUAGAUACCCUGGUAGUCCACGCCCUAAACGAUGUCAACUAGUUGUCGGGUCUUAACGGACUUGGUAACGCAGCUAACGCGUGAAGUUGACCGCCUGGGGAGUACGGUCGCAAGAUUAA